Molecule: ribosomal RNA, 279 nt
Filed under: uncultured bacterium
Lineage: Bacteria
Description: partial 16S ribosomal RNA
Rfam family: Bacterial small subunit ribosomal RNA
Source: RNAcentral
UGCCAGCCGCCGCGGUAAUACGGAGGGUGCAAGCGUUGUUCGGAAUUACUGGGCGUAAAGCGCGCGUAGGCGGCUUUUUAAGUCAGAUGUGAAAGUCCACGGCUCAACCGUGGAAGUGCAUUUGAAACUGGGAGGCUUGAGUAUUGGAGGGGGUGGUGGAAUUCCCGGUGUAGAGGUGAAAUUCGUAGAUAUCGGGAGGAAUACCGGUGGCGAAGGCGGCUUUCUGGACCAAUACUGACGCUGAGAUGCGAAAGCGUGGGGAGCGAACAGGAUUAGAUA